ACUCCUACGGGAGGCAGCAGUGGGGAAUUUUGGACAAUGGGCGAAAGCCUGAUCCAGCAAUGCCGCGUGAGUGAAGAAGGCCUUCGGGUUGUAAAGCUCUUUUGUCAGGGAAGAAACGGUGAGAGCUAAUAUCUCUUGCUAAUGACGGUACCUGAAGAAUAAGCACCGGCUAACUACGUGCCAGCAGCCGCGGUAAUACGUAGGGUGCAAGCGUUAAUCGGAAUUACUGGGCGUAAAGCGUGCGCAGGCGGUUUUGUAAGUCUGAUGUGAAAUCCCCGGGCUCAACCUGGGAAUUGCAUUGGAGACUGCAAGGCUAGAAUCUGGCAGAGGGGGGUAGAAUUCCACGUGUAGCAGUGAAAUGCGUAGAUAUGUGGAGGAACACCGAUGGCGAAGGCAGCCCCCUGGGUCAAGAUUGACGCUCAUGCACGAAAGCGUGGGGAGCAAACAGGAUUAGAUACCCGAGUAGUCCCAUGA
Molecule: ribosomal RNA, 474 nt
Filed under: uncultured organism
Description: partial 16S ribosomal RNA
Rfam family: Bacterial small subunit ribosomal RNA
Source: RNAcentral